UCGGGGCAAAAACAAAAGUGUUGCGUUUAUAAUUUUGUUCAGUUUAUAUAUUAUUAAGGGAAUGUAACUUAUAAAAACUGAAAUGCCACUUCUACCAUAUGUUUAUAUUGUAGAUUGUUGAGAGCAGGUCCCAGGUAAGAUGGCUGUAAAAUUGCUCCAUUCUGAUUCAUAGGGGCUCUAAGACACCAGCACAUCUACUGUUCUAUUAUCUGUGAUGGAAACAGCCAGCAACAGAGUGAGGGGCAACCUCAUGUGAAACUGCAUCUGAAUGCCAUCUGUCUUUCAAUAAAGCUCCCCAGUACUUGGCAGGUUUCAAUAGUUACCUUUCCAAAGACGCCCAGCUGUAUUGCGGUUCUAAUAGUUUUUGCAGCACUACAAACACAGCCUCUGAUUUAGAGACUAUUAACAACAAGUUUCAGCAUUCACUUCCAUUCAGUUCUCAUUUAUGUUGUUUAAUAACAAAACAAAAACAAAAAAAUCUGGUAUCCCUGUGGAAUGUACAUUAUAAUUUAAUGUCUCUCGUUGCCAUGUUCCCUCUUUGCAGGCACAGCCUGCUACAGAAUUUCCCUGUCAUUGACAUUUUGUCUUUGUAGAUACAACCACACGUUCGCCGCUGUCGGUGAGCUAGUGUUCAUGUUUGGGGGGUGCACGGAGGAUGGCUGCUACCACAAUGACGUCCACAUUCUCAACACAGAUACCCUUGUGUGGCAGAGGUACGAUGUGAAGGGGGAGUCACCACUGGCCUGCGCCGGCCAGACCCUCACGGCUCACCAUGACAAGGAUAUUUACUUGUUUGGCGGCAAAUGCAUCAGUCAGGAUGGAACAGUAACUUCAACAAAUGAGAUUAACAAAUUAAGCAUUGGUAAGUCAAUUAGCAUUAUCUCAGGUCUCACAACAUUAACGUGGGCAUUGGCGUUCUGAACGUUUAUCGCCCCCGUGAGCUAGAAGUUGUGGCACAAACUUCUAUUCAGUAGUAGUGCUUUUAGUUGGUUUGAAUUUAGAACACAUGUUAACCUAAGGUUUAUCUCAGAACUAAUAGACUAAUAGACUCUUCCCCUUUAUCGUUUUACUGUGGCCCUGUCCUCCAGCUAAAAUGAAGUGGAAGGUGCCUCUCUAUGUGGGGAUUCCUCCCACCCCACGUCAUGACCACACUGCCUUCAUCCUCCAUAGCCAUGUGUGUGUAUAUGUUUGUAUGUGUGUUUUUCUGCUUGUGUGUGUGUGUGAUCCAGAUCUAACAAUACAUACUGGGACCAGAAGUUCCCACAAAGAUUGGAAAACCUGAUAAUUAGGUCCUGACUAGGAAGAAUUUACUGUGUUCAACACAGAUAGAAAAACAAAAUAUGUGUGUGUUUGGUUCUGCCAUUGUGGGUGCUGGCACAUCUGUCUGUUUGUCUCUCUUUCUGUCUUAAUGAUCGCGUGUUAAUAUCAUGCAGAUAUAUAUAUUUGGUGGCAAAAAUGAAGAACAAGAAUUCAAUGACCUGAAGGUGAUGAAAUUGAUAAACCCAUCAGAAAGACAGCCAGUGAUGAAGGAAAUUCUGUCUGAGUUUGGGCUUCAGGGAGUCAGUCAUGGUUUCACACCAACUAAAGUCCCCAACGUAAAGUAUGAGCUCAGUAAGUCUCCGUCUUCGUUUUCUAUGAGGACGGGUGCAGCUGCCUCUGCACAGGUCACAGCCCACAGAGACUUCAACGCUGUCCGAUGCCAUGCCUUGGAAAUGAUCCAUAAAGCGUUCUCAAUGCUUGACCAAGAGUUCCAAAAGCUUGACGGAGAAAGGUCAGAGCUUGCUCAAGCUACCGCAGCUCUUAAGUAUGAGAGAGAAGCUCUCCAAGCCCAACACCUGCAACAAGAGGCAGAACUACAGGAAAUGUUGGAGAGACACAGAGCCCAGAAUGAGAACUGGCUACGUGCACGGGCAGAGGAGAAUGACAAGGAGAGGAAGGAGCUGUGUAAACUCAGGGAGGAUAUUGUGCAGGAGCAAGAAAGACUAAAAGAGGAGCAGGGAAACAUCCAGAAACGAAGCGAGCACCUCCUAUCCAUCAUGAAACAGUUCAAAGGCAUGUAAAUACAUGUCUCCAUAGCAACCAACUGGAGAAAACAGAUCUCCCGUGGAUAAAAUGGAAGAAUAGAUUUGACAUUCAUUUGUGUUUUCUGCUGGUGUGUUUGAAUAAUUAGCAUUGUGAGCAUAGGAGAAAUUUGCAUUUGUUGUCUUUUGCCAAAGAGUCAUCUUAUCUUAGAGAGGCGGUGAGGUCAGAGGAAUCAUGUUGACCUUGUCAUAAAAGGGAUAAUAUUUUAACCUGACUGGUACAAAAUCCUAGAGCAUACUAAGUGGGACUAUUAUGAAGGCCUAUGGAAAAUGUUGUAAAGGAAAGUAACAAACAAUCAAUCUGUUUUGUGUUGAAUAAUAAAGCAAUAGUGCAGCGCUCUUUGUAGUUUUGCACAUAUCUGCAGAGAUACACAUUCUGUUCCCUAAUCUUUUAAAUAAUCACACACACUUUUACAGUUUUACACUUUUCAGAUAAUGCAAUCAAGAGAUUUGAUUGUAUUGUAUUUUAUUCUAGCUAAAUCUGGGUAAACCAGAUAGAUUAUUAGGAAAUGGAUGUGUAUGGGAAUAGAUUACUCAAAUAAAAUGUGAAAAU
This is a long non-coding RNA of Esox lucius (northern pike), 2634 nucleotides long. The record is from Ensembl. Lineage: Eukaryota; Metazoa; Chordata; Actinopteri; Esociformes; Esocidae.